This 767-nucleotide ribosomal RNA is filed under the name uncultured Photobacterium sp. RNAcentral describes it as "bacterial SSU rRNA". It matches the Rfam family "Bacterial small subunit ribosomal RNA", at positions 50 to 805 of the family's 1533-position model. The record is from RNAcentral. Lineage: Bacteria; Pseudomonadati; Pseudomonadota; Gammaproteobacteria; Vibrionales; Vibrionaceae.
AACACAUGCAAGUCGAGCGGUAACAGAAAAGAAGCUUGCUUCUUUUGCUGACGAGCGGCGGACGGGUGAGUAAUGCCUGGGAAUAUACCCUGAUGUGGGGGAUAACUAUUGGAAACGAUAGCUAAUACCGCAUAAUCUCUUCGGAGCAAAGAGGGGGACCUUCGGGCCUCUCGCGUCAGGAUUAGCCCAGGUGGGAUUAGCUAGUUGGUGGGGUAAUGGCUCACCAAGGCGACGAUCCCUAGCUGGUCUGAGAGGAUGAUCAGCCACACUGGAACUGAGACACGGUCCAGACUCCUACGGGAGGCAGCAGUGGGGAAUAUUGCACAAUGGGGGAAACCCUGAUGCAGCCAUGCCGCGUGUAUGAAGAAGGCCUUCGGGUUGUAAAGUACUUUCAGUUGUGAGGAAGGCGUUGGAGUUAAUAGCUUCAGCGCUUGACGUUAGCAACAGAAGAAGCACCGGCUAACUCCGUGCCAGCAGCCGCGGUAAUACGGAGGGUGCGAGCGUUAAUCGGAAUUACUGGGCGUAAAGCGCAUGCAGGCGGUCUGUUAAGCAAGAUGUGAAAGCCCGGGGCUCAACCUCGGAACAGCAUUUUGAACUGGCAGACUAGAGUCUUGUAGAGGGGGGUAGAAUUUCAGGUGUAGCGGUGAAAUGCGUAGAGAUCUGAAGAAUACCAGUGGCGAAAGCGGCCCCCUGGACAAAGACUGACGCUCAGAUGCGAAAGCGUGGGGAGCAAACAGGAUUGGAUACCCUGGUAGUCCACGCCGUAA